AAGUUGUCAAACAGCAUUCAGUGUUUACUCCAUUUAAAAGCAAAUCUGCAAAAAUCGGAAAUAUUUUGGGAUUUUAAUUUGAGAUCAAAGUUCGAAUGAUAAAGAGACAAUCACAUAUCAUCCUGAUCAGACAAAUGGGAAUUUAAACAAAUGAGAUGGAACCAUCGAAGAGCUGUGAUGUCACUAGAGGGCACGAACACUACCUUUGUCAUUUAUUAUUACUGGAACAAGCUUCGCCAAUCGCAUUGAAGGCCAUAAUUAAAAGGGAAGAGAAAAAAUGUGGAAAAAAUAUUGGUAUUUUGCUAAAUGAGAAUAGAGAUGCGUUUAAAACCCAGUACGAAACAGAGUUUCUUCAAUUAAUUCAAGAAGAUAAUGUCAAUGACAACAUUGAUACAUGGGACACACUUCAAUUAUGUGCUGUGACAUUAGUUUUGUUUAAAUCUGAUCUAACUGAACCAGAAAUUAAAGCCGUUCAAUGUAUAUAUGAUCAGAGGAAAGAUAUUGAACAAUACACCGAAUGUGCCUCCCUAACAUUCAAUACCUACAACGAGAAACAACAUUUAUUGUACGAUCAAUUACUCAAGUUGAUAACGCUCAUAGACGACCAAGCUAAUCUUGAUUGUAAACGUUUG
Molecule: long non-coding RNA, 632 nt
Organism: Ruditapes philippinarum (Manila clam)
Lineage: Eukaryota; Metazoa; Mollusca; Bivalvia; Venerida; Veneridae
Exons: 3
Source: RefSeq, a predicted model, not a curated record